UGGGGAAUAUUGGACAAUGGGCGCAAGCCUGAUCCAGCCAUGCCGCGUGAGUGAUGAAGGCCCUAGGGUUGUAAAGCUCUUUCACCGGUGAAGAUAAUGACGGUAACCGGAGAAGAAGCCCCGGCUAACUUCGUGCCAGCAGCCGCGGUAAUACGAAGGGGGCUAGCGUUGUUCGGAUUUACUGGGUGUAAAGCGCACGUAGGCGGAACUUUUAAGUCAGGGGUGAAAUCCCGGGGCUCAACCCCGGAACUGCCUUUGAUACUGGAAGUCUUGAGUAUGGUAGAGGUGAGUGGAAUUCCGAGUGUAGAGGUGAAAUUCGUAGAUAUUCGGAGGAACACCAGUGGCGAAGGCGGCUCACUGGACCAUUACUGACGCUGAGGUGCGAAAAGCGUGGGGAGCAAACAGGAUUAGAUACCCCUGGUAGUCCACGCCGUAAACGAUGAAUGUUAGCCGUUGGGGGAGUUU
RNAcentral lists this ribosomal RNA (465 nucleotides) under uncultured bacterium. RNAcentral describes it as "partial 16S ribosomal RNA". It matches the Rfam family "Bacterial small subunit ribosomal RNA", at positions 355 to 834 of the family's 1533-position model. The record is from RNAcentral.